AUUGAACGCUGGCGGCAGGCUUAACACAUGCAAGUCGAGCGGGGUGAUGGUGCUUGCACUAUCACUUAGCGGCGGACGGGUGAGCAAUGCUUAGGAAUCUGCCUAUUAGUGGGGGACAACAUCUCGAAAGGGAUGCUAAUACCGCAUACGUCCUACGGGAGAAAGCAGGGGAUCACUUGUGACCUUGCGCUAAUAGAUGAGCCUAAGUCGGAUUAGCUAGUUGGUGGGGUAAAGGCCUACCAAGGCGACGAUCUGUAGCGGGUCUGAGAGGAUGAUCCGCCACACUGGGACUGAGACACGGCCCAGACUCCUACGGGAGGCAGCAGUGGGGAAUAUUGGAUAAUGGGGGGAACCCUGAUCCAGCCAUGCCGCGUGUGUGAAGAAGGCCUUAUGGUUGUAAAGCACUUUAAGCGAGGAGGAGGCUCUUUUGGUUAAUACCCAAGAUGAGUGGACGUUACUCGCAGAAUAAGCACCGGCUAACUCUGUGCCAGCAGCCGCCGUAA
This 503-nucleotide ribosomal RNA is filed under the name uncultured bacterium. RNAcentral describes it as "partial 16S ribosomal RNA". It matches the Rfam family "Bacterial small subunit ribosomal RNA", at positions 30 to 523 of the family's 1533-position model. The record is from RNAcentral.